GAGUUUGAUCGUGGCUCAGAACGAACGCUGGCGGCGUGCCUAACACAUGCAAGUCGAGCGAGAAAGGUUCCUUCGGGAACCGAGUAAAGCGGCGCACGGGUGAGUAACACGUAGGUAACCUGCCCCUUAGUCUGGAACAACUGGAGGAAACUCCAGCUAAUGCCGGAUGAGACCACGAUUUCCUCGGAGAUCGCGGCCAAAGAUGGCCUCUACUUGUAAGCUAUCGCUGAGGGAUGGGCCCUGCGGGGUCAUUAGCUUGUUGGUGAGGUAACGGCUCACCAAGGCAGUGAUGACUAGCUGGUCUGAGAGGAUGACCAGCCACACUGGGGACUGAGACACGGCCCAGACUCCUACGGGAGGCAGCAGUGGGGAAUAUUGCGCAAUGGGCGAAAGCCUGACGCAGCGACGCCGCGUGGGUGAUGAAGG
Molecule: ribosomal RNA, 426 nt
Filed under: uncultured delta proteobacterium
Lineage: Bacteria; Deltaproteobacteria
Description: bacterial SSU rRNA
Rfam family: Bacterial small subunit ribosomal RNA
Source: RNAcentral